GACGAACGCUGGCGGCGUGCCUAAUACAUGCAAGUCGAACGCAGUGGGGACGGGUGAGUAACACGUGGGUCACCUCCCAUCAGAGGGGAUAACACUUGGAAACAGGUGCUAAACCGAUACUGAUGGAUGACCCCGCGGUGCAUUCGCUAGGUGGUGAGGGAACGGCUCACCAAGGCUACGAUGCAUAGCCGGCCUGAGAGGGUGAUCGGCCACACUGGGACUGAGACACGGCCCAGACUCCUACGUGAGGCAGCAGUAGGGAAUCUUCGGCAAUGGACGAAAGUCUGACCGAGCAACGCCGCGUGAGUGAAGAAGGUUUUCGGAUCGUAAAACUCUGUUGUUAGAGAAGCGGUAUCUAACCAGAAAGCCACGGCUAACUACGUGCCAGCAGCCGCGGUAAUAC
Molecule: ribosomal RNA, 403 nt
Filed under: uncultured bacterium
Lineage: Bacteria
Description: partial 16S ribosomal RNA
Rfam family: Bacterial small subunit ribosomal RNA
Source: RNAcentral